Molecule: ribosomal RNA, 931 nt
Filed under: Pseudomonas sp. s122
Lineage: Bacteria; Pseudomonadati; Pseudomonadota; Gammaproteobacteria; Pseudomonadales; Pseudomonadaceae
Description: bacterial SSU rRNA
Rfam family: Bacterial small subunit ribosomal RNA
Source: RNAcentral
AUUCGCGGCGGACGGGUGAGUAAUGCCUAGGAAUCUGCCUGGUAGUGGGGGACAACGUUUCGAAAGGAACGCUAAUACCGCAUACGUCCUACGGGAGAAAGCAGGGGACCUUCGGGCCUUGCGCUAUCAGAUGAGCCUAGGUCGGAUUAGCUAGUUGGUGGGGUAAUGGCUCACCAAGGCGACGAUCCGUAACUGGUCUGAGAGGAUGAUCAGUCACACUGGAACUGAGACACGGUCCAGACUCCUACGGGAGGCAGCAGUGGGGAAUAUUGGACAAUGGGCGAAAGCCUGAUCCAGCCAUGCCGCGUGUGUGAAGAAGGUCUUCGGAUUGUAAAGCACUUUAAGUUGGGAGGAAGGGCAGUAAGCUAAUACCUUGCUGUUUUGACGUUACCGACAGAAUAAGCACCGGCUAACUCUGUGCCAGCAGCCGCGGUAAUACAGAGGGUGCAAGCGUUAAUCGGAAUUACUGGGCGUAAAGCGCGCGUAGGUGGUUCGUUAAGUUGGAUGUGAAAGCCCCGGGCUCAACCUGGGAAAUGCAUCCAAAACUGGCGAGCUAGAGUACGGUAGAGGGUGGUGGAAUUUCCUGUGUAGCGGUGAAAUGCGUAGAUAUAGGAAGGAACACCAGUGGCGAAGGCGACCACCCGGACUGAUACUGACACUGAGGUGCGAAAGCGUGGGGAGCAAACAGGAUUAGAUACCCUGGUAGUCCACGCCGUAAACGAUGUCAACUAGCCGUUGGAAUCCUUGAGAUUUUAGUGGCGCAGCUAACGCAUUAAGUUGACCGCCUGGGGAGUACGGCCGCAAGGUUAAAAAUCAAAUGAAUUGACGGGGGCCCGCACAAGCGGUGGAGCAUGUGGUUUAAUUUGAAGCAACGCGAAGAACCUUACCAGGCCUUGACAUGCAGAGAACUUCCAGAGAUGGAUUGGGCCUC